This 497-nucleotide ribosomal RNA is filed under the name uncultured bacterium. Its description in RNAcentral is "partial 16S ribosomal RNA". It matches the Rfam family "Bacterial small subunit ribosomal RNA", at positions 28 to 507 of the family's 1533-position model. The record is from RNAcentral.
GAUGAACGCUGGCGGCGUGCCUAAUACAUGCAAGUCGAGCGAACAGAUGAGGAGCUUGCUCCUCUGACGUUAGCGGCGGGCGGGUGAGUAACACGUGGAUAACCUACCUAUAAGACUGGGAUAACUUCGGGAAACCGGAGCUAAUACCGGAUAAUAUAUUGAACCGCAUGGUUCAAUAGUGAAAGACGGUUUUGCUGUCACUUAUAGAUGGAUCCGCGCCGCAUUAGCUAGUUGGUAAGGUAACGGCUUACCAAGGCAACGAUGCGUAGCCGACCUGAGAGGGUGAUCGGCCACACUGGAACUGAGACACGGUCCAGACUCCUACGGGAGGCAGCAGUAGGGAAUCUUCCGCAAUGGGCGAAAGCCUGACGGAGCAACGCCGCGUGAGUGAUGAAGGUCUUCGGAUCGUAAAACUCUGUUAUUAGGGAAGAACAUAUGUGUAAGUAACUGUGCACAUCUUGACGGUACCUAAUCAGAAAGCCACGGCUAACUACGUG